Molecule: ribosomal RNA, 504 nt
Filed under: uncultured bacterium
Lineage: Bacteria
Description: partial 16S ribosomal RNA
Rfam family: Bacterial small subunit ribosomal RNA
Source: RNAcentral
AUUGAACGCUGGCGGCAGGCCUAACACAUGCAAGUCGGACGGUAGCACAGAGAGCUUGCUCUCGGGUGACGAGUGGCGGAGGGGUGAGUAAUGUCUGGGGAUCUGCCCGAUAGAGGGGGAUAACCACUGGAAACGGUGGCUAUUACCGCAUAACGUCGCAAGCCCAAAGAGGGGGACCGUCGGGCCUCCCACUAUUGGAUGAGCCCAGAUGGGGUUAGCUAGUCGGCGGGGGAAUGGCCCACCUAGGCGACGAUCCCUAGCUGGUCUGAGAGGAUGACCAUCCAGACGGGAACUGAGACACGGGCCAGACUCCUACGGGAGGAAGCAGUGGGGAAUAUUGCACAAUGGGCGCAAGCCUGAUGCAGCCAUGCCGCGUGUAUGAAGAAGGCCCUCGGGUUGUAAAGUACUUUCAGCGGGGAGGAAGGCGAUGCGGUUAAUAACCGUGUCGAUUGACGUUACCCGCAGAAGAAGCACCGGCUAACUCCGUGCCAGCCGCCGCCGUAA